GGAGGAUUAGCUCAGCUGGGAGAGCACCUGCCUUACAAGCAGGGGGGCGGCGGUUCGAGCCCGUCAUCCUCCACCA
This 76-nucleotide transfer RNA is filed under the name Lysinibacillus sp. RNAcentral describes it as "tRNA-Val". It matches the Rfam family "tRNA". Rfam says of the family: Transfer RNA (tRNA) molecules are approximately 80 nucleotides in length. Their secondary structure includes four short double-helical elements and three loops (D, anti-codon, and T loops). Lineage: Bacteria; Bacillati; Bacillota; Bacilli; Caryophanales; Bacillaceae. The record is from RNAcentral.